UGUGAAGAUAGACAAUCUGCAUAUAUUUCAGG
This 32-nucleotide non-coding RNA is filed under the name Mus musculus (house mouse). Lineage: Eukaryota; Metazoa; Chordata; Mammalia; Rodentia; Muridae. The record is from RNAcentral.